AUUAGCGGCGGACGGGUGAGUAACACGUGAGUAACCUGCCUUAGACAUUGGGAUAGCCUCGGGAAACCGGGAUUAAUACCAAAUAGAAUCAUAAUGACACAUGUCAUAACGAUCAAAACUCCGGUGGUCUAAGAUGGACUCGCGUCCCAUUAGCUAGUUGGUAGAGUAAAAGCCUACCAAGGCGACGAUGGGUAGCCGGCCUGAGAGGGUGAACGGCCACAUUGGAACUGAGAAACGGUCCAA
This 243-nucleotide ribosomal RNA is filed under the name uncultured Eubacteriales bacterium. RNAcentral describes it as "uncultured Clostridiales bacterium partial 16S ribosomal RNA". It matches the Rfam family "Bacterial small subunit ribosomal RNA", at positions 91 to 334 of the family's 1533-position model. The record is from RNAcentral. Lineage: Bacteria; Bacillati; Bacillota; Clostridia; Eubacteriales.